RNAcentral lists this long non-coding RNA (354 nucleotides) under Struthio camelus australis. RNAcentral describes it as "lncRNA (ENSSCUG00000019020.1)". Lineage: Eukaryota; Metazoa; Chordata; Aves; Struthioniformes; Struthionidae. The record is from RNAcentral.
GGGGUCUGUGCAGGUGGGGACUGUAAAGUAGGGGGCAGCGGGGGGAACUGGAGGCAACUGUGGGGUCUCUGGGGACGGGGAGUCACUGGGGUGCUGGGGGAGGUGGGAAUGGGGCUGUCCCUGCUUCUUAGCUCCAGUUUCUGCUCCUCUUUUGUCAUACAGGGCAUCCCUGGUGCUACUGGACCCAUAGGCCCUUCUGGCCCCCCUGGACUUCCUGGCCCAGCUGGUCCCAAAGGUGCCAAGGGAGCCAUGGUAAGCGCUGAGCCGGUGCCCCCUCCCCCCAGCCCACCACCACGUUCAGUCCUGCCCCAGACUGACGUUUGUGUCUCUUUCCUUUAGGGCCAAGCAGGACCC